This 1434-nucleotide ribosomal RNA is filed under the name Prochlorococcus sp. AH-736-N03. RNAcentral's name for it is "partial 23S ribosomal RNA". It matches the Rfam family "Bacterial large subunit ribosomal RNA", at positions 1479 to 2925 of the family's 2925-position model. Lineage: Bacteria; Bacillati; Cyanobacteriota; Cyanophyceae; Synechococcales; Prochlorococcaceae. The record is from RNAcentral.
AGGCUAACCAGGCCAGAUGUUGGUUACUGGUUCAAGCGUUCGAGGCUUUGAGAGAUGGAGAAAACAUCUCGAGCUAAGGCGUGAGUACGAGCUGCUACGGCAGCGAAGUUGGUGAUGUCAUGCUUCCAAGAAAAGCCCUAUACUCGUUAAGACACAAAUGCCAGUACCCGAAACCGACACAGGUGGGGUGGUAGAGAAUACCGAGGGGCGCGAGAUAACUCUCUCUAAGGAACUCGGCAAAAUGGCCCCGUAACUUCGGGAGAAGGGGUGCCAGCGAGAGCUGGUCGCAGUGAAGAGGCGCAAGCGACUGUUUACCAAAAACACAGGUCUCCGCUAAGUCGCAAGACGAUGUAUGGGGGCUGACACCUGCCCAGUGCCGGAAGGUUAAGGAAGCUGGUUAGCUUUUAGUGAAGCUGGCGACUGAAGCCCCGGUGAACGGCGGCCGUAACUAUAACGGUCCUAAGGUAGCGAAAUUCCUUGUCGGGUAAGUUCCGACCCGCACGAAAGGUGUAACGAUUUGCGCGCUGUCUCGGAGAGAGGCUCGGCGAAAUAGAAUUGUCUGUGAAGAUGCGGACUACAUACACCCGGACAGAAAGACCCUAUGAAGCUUUACUGUAGUUUGAUAUUGUGCUCGGGCUCUGAAUGCGCAGAAUAGGUGGGAGACGUUGAAAUAGUGCUUGUGGGUACUAUUGAGUCAUCGGUGAGAUACCACUCUUUUAGAGCUAGGGUUCUAACGCUUACCCGUUAUCCGGGAAGCGGACAGUAUCUGAUGGGCAGUUUGACUGGGGCGGUCGCCUCCUAAAAGGUAACGGAGGCGCACAAAGGUUCCCUCAGGCUGGUUGGAAAUCAGUCGUUGAGUGCAAAAGCAGAAGGGAGCUUGACUGUGAGACCUACAAGUCGAACAGGGACGAAAGUCGGUUUUAGUGAUCCGACGGUUCUGCGUGGAAGGGCCGUCGCUCAACGGAUAAAAGUUACUCUAGGGAUAACAGGCUGAUCUCCCCCAAGAGUUCACAUCGACGGGGAGGUUUGGCACCUCGAUGUCGGCUCAUCGCAACCUGGGGCUGAAGUCGGUCCCAAGGGUUGGGCUGUUCGCCCAUUAAAGCGGUACGCGAGCUGGGUUCAGAACGUCGUGAGACAGUUCGGUCCAUAUCCGGUGUAUGCGCAGGAAUAUUGAGAGGAUUUCUCCCUAGUACGAGAGGACCGGGAGGAACGCACCUCUGGUGUGCCAGUUAUCGUGCCAACGGUAAACGCUGGGUAGCCAUGUGCGGAGUGGAUAACCGCUGAAAGCAUCUAAGUGGGAAGCCCACCUCAAGAUGAGUAUUGCCAUGGCUUAAGCCAGUAAGGUCACGGGAAGAACACCCGUUGAUAGGCUCUACGUGGAAGCUUGGUAACAAGUGCAGCGGAGGAGUACUAAUAGACCGAGGGCUUGACCAA